GGUAAGUGCGGGUGGGAGGGGUGGAGAAUACGGAGGGGGGAAGGGGUGGCCGGCUUGAUUGGGCGUAAAGCGCGUGUAGGGGGCCAGGAAGGUGCGUGGUGAAAACUGGGGGCUCAACUUCCAGACGUCGAUGGAAACCGCCCGGCUAGAGUCCGGAAGAGGAGAGUGGAAUUCCUGGUGUAGCGGUGAAAUGCGCAGAUAUCAGGAAGAACACCAAUGGCGAAGGCAGCUCUCUGGGACGGUACUGACGCUGAGACGCGAAAGCGUGGGGAGCGAACAGGAUUAGAUACCCGGGUAGUC
Molecule: ribosomal RNA, 300 nt
Filed under: uncultured Lactobacillus sp.
Lineage: Bacteria; Bacillati; Bacillota; Bacilli; Lactobacillales; Lactobacillaceae
Description: bacterial SSU rRNA
Rfam family: Bacterial small subunit ribosomal RNA (bases 52-300)
Source: RNAcentral